AGCGGCGAACGGGUGAGUAACACGUGGGUGAUCUGCCUUGCACUUCGGGAUAAGCCUGGGAAACUGGGUCUAAUACCGGAUAUGACCUUCCAGUGCAUGCUGGUUGGUGGAAAGAUUUAUCGGUGCGAGAUGGGCCCGCGGCCUAUCAGCUUGUUGGUGAGGUAACGGCUCACCAAGGCGACGACGGGUAGCCGACCUGAGAGGGUGACCGGCCACACUGGGACUGAGACACGGCCCAGACUCCUACGGGAGGCAGCAGUGGGGAAUAUUGCACAAUGGGCGAAAGCCUGAUGCAGCGACGCCGCGUGCGGGAUGACGGCCUUCGGGUUGUAAACCGCUUUUGACAGGGACGAAGCGCGAGUGACUGUACCUGUAGAAUAAGGACCGGCCAACUACGUGCCAGCAGCCGCGGUAAUACGUAGGGUCCGAGCGUUGUCCGGAAUUACUGGGCGUAAAGAGCUUGUAGGCGGUUCGUCGCGUCGUUUGUGAAAACUUGGGGCUCAACCUUAAGCUUGCAGGCGAUACGGGCGGACUAGAGUACUUCAGGGGAGACUGGAAUUCCUGGUGUAGCGGUGAAAUGCGCAGAUAUCAGGAGGAACACCGGUGGCGAAGGCGGGUCUCUGGGAAGUAACUGACGCUGAGAAGCGAAAGCAUGGGUAGCAAACAGGAUUAGAUACCCUGGUAGUCCAUGCCGUAAACGGUGGGUACUAGGUGUGG
RNAcentral lists this ribosomal RNA (717 nucleotides) under Nocardia sp. YIM 64815. Its description in RNAcentral is "bacterial SSU rRNA". It matches the Rfam family "Bacterial small subunit ribosomal RNA", at positions 94 to 825 of the family's 1533-position model. Lineage: Bacteria; Bacillati; Actinomycetota; Actinomycetes; Mycobacteriales; Nocardiaceae. The record is from RNAcentral.